GAUGAACGCUGGCUGUGUGGAUUAGGCAUGCAAGUCGAAUGUCACUUCGGUGGCAUGGCAAACGAGGCAGUAACGUGUAGGAACCUACCCUCAAGUCGGGCAUAACCCAGAGAAAUCUGGAAUAAUUCCCGAUAAUUCCCGCUUUUAGCGGGACAAAGUUUUUCGCUUGGGGAGGGGCCUGCAUAGUAUCAGCUUGUUGGUAAGGUAAUGGCUUACCAAGGCAAUGACGCUUAGGGGAGGUGAGAGCCUGACCCCCGCCGAUGGCACUGAGACACGGGCCAUACUCCUACGGGAGGCCGCAGUCGAGAAUCUUCCGCAAUGGGCGAAAGCCUGACGGAGCGACACAGCGUGGUGGACGAAGCUUUUCGGAGUGUAAACACCUUUUAUAAGUGAAGAAGCUUAUUGACAUUAGCUUAUGAAUAAGGGGCUGCUAAUCACGUGCCAGCAGCAGCGGUAAUACGUGAGCCCCGAGCGUUAUCCGGAAUCAUUGGGCGUAAAGCGAGUGUAGGCGGUUUAAUUAGUCUUUUGUUAAAGUCCCAGGCUCAACCUGGGAACUGCAAGGGAAACGGUUAACCCUAGAGAAUGUGAGAGGUUAGUGGAACUCAUAGUGUAGGGGUGAAAUCCCGUUGAUAUUAUGGGGAACACCAAAAGCGAAGGCAACUAACUGGCGCAUUUCUGACGCUUGAGACACGAAAGCGUGGGUAGCGAAAGGGAUUAGAUACCCCUGUAGUCCACGCCGUAAACGAUGCUCGCUAGCUUUUUGGGGAAUCGACCCUCUGAGAGGCAAAGCUAACGCGUUAAGCGAGCCGCCUGGGUAGUACGAGCGCAAGCUUAAAACUCAAAGGAAUAGACGGGGACUUGCACAAGCAGUGGAUUAUGUGGCUUAAUUCGAUGAUAAACGAAGAACCUUACCAGGGCUUGAAAUCCUGCUUAUGUUUUUCUAGAAAUAGAAAAUCUUAAAGGCAGUGACAGGUGUUGCAUGGCCGUCGUCAGUUCGUGGCAUGGACUGUUCCCUUAAGUGGGGAAACAAGGG
RNAcentral lists this ribosomal RNA (1033 nucleotides) under uncultured Parcubacteria group bacterium. RNAcentral describes it as "bacterial SSU rRNA". It matches the Rfam family "Bacterial small subunit ribosomal RNA", at positions 28 to 1098 of the family's 1533-position model. The record is from RNAcentral.